AAAAAACGUCAUGUGCAAUUGAAUCUGCAGUCUAUUGUAACUUAUGUUAGCUACCUUUGAUUCUUACUCAUUAUUUUCUUUGCUGGGUCUGUGCUCUGUCCUUUUGCAAUGAAAGAAUACUUUGGAUGCACUUGCUAAAGGAGAAUUUGCUGUGAGAAUUUGCUUCCAAGUGUUUGAACAGUUUUUAUCCAUUCUGGGUUUGUCAGCGAUCCAGUCUGCAUAAUGAAGGCAGAAAAUCCAGCAGAGUAGUAGUGCUAGGAGCUGACAGGCUCCUAGGCUUGUGGAUUUAAUGAGAAUUGCAAAAUACUGAAACAUCCUGUUCCAGAAAAGAGGCUAACAUAGGUGCGGUUUGGUAAAGCUGUGAAGUUUGGGGUGAGUAGUAGACUUGUCAAAGAAAUCAAUGCCUGGGAAAGGUCUCAACCAACAAAGCUGUCUCUUGUUACUUGUAGGAAGCAUGCCAUCAGCCCCUUGGAUUUGGUCUUCUGUCAUCCACAACAUUUCUACCAAUGUGUGAAAGUUCUGAAUACUUUCCAGUACUUCCUGUGCGAUGUAUAUGCUGCUACCCAUGUAAGUGUGGCAGUUGGAGCAUGCUUGUAACAUGCAGUGAAGCUGGGUGACUUCCAUUGAAAAUAAUGGGGGCCCAUUCUUCAGAAGAGGACUAGUUGAAUGGAAGCUUGCUAUGACAGACUUAAAUAGUCCUUUUCCUUUAAUGAAACUUCAACUUUAUAUCAUAAUUCAACUUUACAUCAUAAUUUUCCCUUGCUAUUUUUUUUCCUGUAUUCAUAGGUAAGGUUAAAGCAUUUCCUCUACAGCCAGGCAAGACGUGAUAGAUCUCUGCGUCCUUGCUCCAGCCCACCAUCAACCUUCUCUACAAUUACCUCAGUGGAACAAUUCCUUUCCAUUUCUGUGGGACAUCAGAGCCUACCCAGCAAGAUGACCAGUGGCCAUGCUGCAAGUGUUUCUAGGUUCGUAAUUGUUUUGGAUGAAAGUAAAACUGGCUGCAGGAAAAAGCAACUGGGGCGUUUGCCUGAGGUAGUGGUAAGCGAUCAGUUUUCUUGCUUAACGUUUUCUAGGUAGAUUGGAGCUCGCUCUAAUUGGAGCCAGGUAGUUCUGUGACAGAACCAAAGCUGAUACCUCUACCCUCCAAGCCCACCUUCGUCAUUUGGAUUCAGUGUCACGCUGAUCAUAACUGUCUGGUUCCUUCCAGCUUGUCCUCAAAGGGCACAGAGACACGUAACACUGCAAGGUUCCCCCCAUCAGGAGGGAGGAAUUCCACCACCAUCUUUCAGGGACUCUCAGCUGCCUGAAAAUAUUCAAAAACACUUUAAUUGCAGCACGAGUUAAUGUACAUCCAGCCCUCUGAGAAUGCUACUUUAACAGCAUUCCCAUCCUCACAAGAGCUUGAAAAGCUAAAGUUUUUUUGGGCAGCUGCCAAAUGCAGGUAAUGAAUGGUUGUUUAGUGCUUUGGAAAUGUACAAAGUAAAGCAAAUGCUAAACACCAGUUACAUUCUGCUAUGCAAGUCACAAAACUGCCUAGAGAACUGCCAGUGAUAAAUGUCCACAAUUAUAGUAUAUAAAUACCAACAGGAAUUAUUUAGGGUGGAACAAGGCAGGGCCACCUAGGAGUAAUUAGAUAGACUUAAGGAGAGGAGAAAACUUCCUUGAGAGAGAACUUCUGAAUCAGGCAUAUUUGAUUAGAGAAAUACCAUCUAUAUAGGAAGAAAUAACUCCUGGAUAAGCCUGUGGUAGGUUAAAUUUACUAACUCUAGAAAAGAAAGUAUACAGAACCAUUCUUAGAGCCAUGGCAUCCAAGGGCCAGAUUGUAAAGUGCUUCUCUUUGCUUGCAAAAUUGGAAAUGCAGGACAUUGUUCAUAUUUUUGCUCUCUGCAGGGCUUGGUGUAAGUCACUUGAG
This 1912-nucleotide long non-coding RNA is filed under the name Anser brachyrhynchus (Pink-footed goose). RNAcentral's name for it is "lncRNA (ENSABRG00000009778.1)". The record is from RNAcentral. Lineage: Eukaryota; Metazoa; Chordata; Aves; Anseriformes; Anatidae.